AGCAACACGAUGGGACACGUAUUGCGAU
This 28-nucleotide small RNA is filed under the name Bombyx mori (domestic silkworm). RNAcentral describes it as "ovarian small RNA-11993". Lineage: Eukaryota; Metazoa; Arthropoda; Insecta; Lepidoptera; Bombycidae. The record is from RNAcentral.